RNAcentral lists this unclassified non-coding RNA (235 nucleotides) under Glomus sp. RNAcentral's name for it is "partial internal transcribed spacer 2". The stretch from base 1 to 71 matches the Rfam family "5.8S ribosomal RNA", at positions 84 to 154 of the family's 154-position model. The record is from RNAcentral. Lineage: Eukaryota; Fungi; Glomeromycota; Glomeromycetes; Glomerales; Glomeraceae.
GUGAAUCAUCAAAUUUUUGAACGCAAAUCGCACUCUCUGGGAUUCAGGAGAGGAUGCCUGUUGUAGGGUCAGUUUAAAUAAAAAUCGGUGUGGUUACUGCCUUUCGGUGUUACGCACCGGAUCUGGUUCGUCUUGCUUUCGGUUAAUGGUCCUAAAAUUUUGCAUGAUUUUUUCGAACGUAUUUAAAUUAUUUUACGUACGUUUUCUAUAUCGAAUACUAGGUUUGGUCAUCCUC